RNAcentral lists this ribosomal RNA (1014 nucleotides) under Sphingobacterium sp. 1045B12_12AVRE. Its description in RNAcentral is "bacterial SSU rRNA". It matches the Rfam family "Bacterial small subunit ribosomal RNA", at positions 56 to 1066 of the family's 1533-position model. Lineage: Bacteria; Pseudomonadati; Bacteroidota; Sphingobacteriia; Sphingobacteriales; Sphingobacteriaceae. The record is from RNAcentral.
UGCAAGUCGGACGGGAUCCAUUGAUAGCUUGCUAUCAAUGGUGAGAGUGGCGCACGGGUGCGUAACGCGUGAGCAACCUACCUCCAUCAGGGGGAUAGCCUCUCGAAAGAGAGAUUAACACCGCAUAAUAUCAACAGUUCGCAUGUUCAGUUGAUUAAAUAUUUAUAGGAUGGAGAUGGGCUCGCGUGACAUUAGCUAGUUGGUAGGGUAACGGCUUACCAAGGCGACGAUGUCUAGGGGCUCUGAGAGGAGAAUCCCCCACACUGGUACUGAGACACGGACCAGACUCCUACGGGAGGCAGCAGUAAGGAAUAUUGGUCAAUGGGCGGAAGCCUGAACCAGCCAUGCCGCGUGCAGGAUGACUGCCCUAUGGGUUGUAAACUGCUUUUGUCCAGGAAUAAACCUMMWUACGAGUAKKKAGCUGAAUGUACUGGAAGAAUAAGGAUCGGCUAACUCCGUGCCAGCAGCCGCGGUAAUACGGAGGAUCCGAGCGUUAUCCGGAUUUAUUGGGUUUAAAGGGUGCGUAGGCGGCCUGUUAAGUCAGGGGUGAAAUACGGUGGCUCAACCAUCGCAGUGCCUUUGAUACUGAUGGGCUUGAAUCCAUUUGAAGUGGGCGGAAUAAGACAAGUAGCGGUGAAAUGCAUAGAUAUGUCUUAGAACUCCGAUUGCGAAGGCAGCUCACUAAGCUGGUAUUGACGCUGAUGCACGAAAGCGUGGGGAUCGAACAGGAUUAGAUACCCUGGUAGUCCACGCCCUAAACGAUGAUAACUCGAUGUUGGCGAUAGACAGCCAGCGUCUUAGCGAAAGCGUUAAGUUAUCCACCUGGGGAGUACGCCCGCAAGGGUGAAACUCAAAGGAAUUGACGGGGGCCCGCACAAGCGGAGGAGCAUGUGGUUUAAUUCGAUGAUACGCGAGGAACCUUACCCGGGCUUGAAAGUUAGUGAAGGUAGCAGAGACGCUACCGUCCUUCGGGACACGAAACUAGGUGCUGCAUGGCUGUCGUCAGCUCGUGCC